Molecule: transfer RNA, 85 nt
Filed under: Felis catus (domestic cat)
Lineage: Eukaryota; Metazoa; Chordata; Mammalia; Carnivora; Felidae
Also listed under: 2 other names
Rfam family: tRNA
About the family: Transfer RNA (tRNA) molecules are approximately 80 nucleotides in length.
Source: Rfam by way of RNAcentral
GCCUGGGUGGCUCAGUCGGUUGAGCGUCCGACUUCGGCUCAGGUCAUGAUCUCGCGGUCCGUGGGUUCGAGCCCCGCAUCAGGCU